Molecule: ribosomal RNA, 253 nt
Filed under: uncultured bacterium
Lineage: Bacteria
Description: partial 16S ribosomal RNA
Rfam family: Bacterial small subunit ribosomal RNA
Source: RNAcentral
UACGUAGGGUGCAAGCGUUAAUCGGAAUUACUGGGCGUAAAGCGUGCGCAGGCGGUUUUAUAAGUCUGACGUGAAAGCCCCGGGCUCAACCUGGGAAUUGCGUUGGAGACUGCAAGGCUUGAAUCUGGCAGAGGGGGGUAGAAUUCCACGUGUAGCAGUGAAAUGCGUAGAGAUGUGGAGGAACACCGAUGGCGAAGGCAGCCCCCUGGGUCAAGAUUGACGCUCAUGCACGAAAGCGUGGGGAGCAAACAGG